Molecule: long non-coding RNA, 667 nt
Organism: Chelonoidis abingdonii (Abingdon island giant tortoise)
Lineage: Eukaryota; Metazoa; Chordata; Testudines; Testudinidae
Source: RefSeq, a predicted model, not a curated record
GUGUACCUCUACCUUGCUUUGUCUGUCAGUCUCUCACCCUGUGUCUACUUCUGUCCCUCUGUCUCUCAUUGUUUGUUUCUCCCCCUCUCUAUCUACUUCUCUUUCUCUUUCCCUCUGUUACUCAUUCUGUGUCUCUCUUCCCCCAGUUCAAGGGACAAUAAAGGAAAAAUUCACACAUGCCUGUCAAGGCCAUACCAGAGGCAAGUUCUCGUUCCAGGCUGCAUCAGAAACAGAAAGUAGAGCUUCGGGCAGAAGAGAAGCCAGUUGGGAGGAACAAUGGAGGACAACUGGGAAGUCCAUUACCAGUCAUAACAAAUUAUUUAACUUGAGCCAAGUCAGACAUCGGGAUUAAACAAAGGCAAAGACUACAAAUGAGAACUGGGCUGUUUACAAUAAGAACUAGAGAACAACCAUGAACUAGGUGUUCAUCUUCCCACCUGUGAAAGGGAACUGAAGAGUUCUAGGAUGACCGUAUCUCAGAUAGUUGGGUUUCCACCUGUUCUCCUGCUUCUUCCACACAAAGUCUGCAAUCAAGUCCCAAAAGACUGUAACAAAGAUGCACAGACAGGGCAGGAAGUAGUGAAUUAUUUUAAAAUGUUUGUUCAGACUCAUUUAUAGAUGCUUGAAAAAUGUUCAUUCUUAAGUCAGAGGAUUUACUGAAUGAACA